UCUAAAGUAGGAGAAGUAUAAGGAGACGAAUAUAUAGAUGCAGAAUCUGAUGAAUUUAGGGUUUGGAAACGAGCAUGCUUGGGAAAUCGUGUAGGGGAAGGAGUGCGAGAAGAAACAGGACUAGCACGAAGCAUAAAAUCGGCACUUAAAGCUUUGAAGUUAGGAAGGAUUACAUUAGAUUGUCGGAGUCUACGGACUAUUAUUGAAACGUCUU
Molecule: non-coding RNA, 214 nt
Organism: Schizosaccharomyces pombe (fission yeast)
Lineage: Eukaryota; Fungi; Ascomycota; Schizosaccharomycetes; Schizosaccharomycetales; Schizosaccharomycetaceae
Source: the annotation of a GenBank genome assembly